Molecule: long non-coding RNA, 690 nt
Organism: Manis pentadactyla (Chinese pangolin)
Lineage: Eukaryota; Metazoa; Chordata; Mammalia; Pholidota; Manidae
Exons: 3
Source: RefSeq, a predicted model, not a curated record
UGGACCAAUUAAGGCCACCGUUUUUGUUGGUUGGCUCAGAGUGGUAGAGCAAAGGCCAGUGAGUGACAGCCUGCUGAACUGUAGAAUGAAUGGUACCCCCUUGGUAGCCAGAAAUACAUUGAUGAUGAAAGAGUCUUGCAAUGGAUUGGAAUUCUUGGGUUAACAGGGUACCAAGUUUAAUCUCAUCAAUGGGUUUGGUUUUACAAAAUUCGGGACCAGGAUCAGAAGUGUCUUGCAGACAACUUUGGCUUCUGGCCCUGUGACAAAAAACUCCCUUUUGGCAAGAGGCCACAGAAAGGCCUGACCAUCUGUUUAGAGGAAGAAAGGAAGAAACACAGGGAGGAGAAACGCAAGUUAAUAUUCCCCAAAUUAAACCACCACAUACUGGCGACAGUUUGGGUAGACAGUAAUGUCAAUUAAGAAGAUACUAUAUACCUGGUUCCAUGAAGUUUCAGUGACCCACUCUGUAAAGAAGGACUGGAUAAAUUAUACAAGUAUACACCAUGUUUAAUGAUAGGCAUUGAUCUCAACUACUCCAUGGGGAAAGCAUGGGGUAAACUUUCCUAUAAAGGGAAAAUGACUCUGGAAAUAGUAAUAAGUAGGGAAAUAACAAAUAUCAUUGUGAAAUAGGCACUUAAACUGUAUUUAAAGGCUUUGAACUUAUAGAAAAAUUUCAAUAAUAAAAUUUUA